RNAcentral lists this transfer RNA (90 nucleotides) under SAR202 cluster bacterium AD-802-E10_MRT_200m. RNAcentral describes it as "tRNA-Ser". It matches the Rfam family "tRNA". Rfam says of the family: Transfer RNA (tRNA) molecules are approximately 80 nucleotides in length. Lineage: Bacteria; Bacillati; Chloroflexota; Dehalococcoidia. The record is from RNAcentral.
GGAGAGGUGGCGGAGUUCGGUCGAUCGCGCCGCACUCGAAAUGCGGUAUCUCGCAAGGGAUCGUGGGUUCGAAUCCCACCCUCUCCGCCA